This 685-nucleotide ribosomal RNA is filed under the name uncultured Alphaproteobacteria bacterium. RNAcentral's name for it is "bacterial SSU rRNA". It matches the Rfam family "Bacterial small subunit ribosomal RNA", at positions 8 to 739 of the family's 1533-position model. The record is from RNAcentral. Lineage: Bacteria; Pseudomonadati; Pseudomonadota; Alphaproteobacteria.
AGAGUUUGAUCCUGGCUCAGAACGAACGCUGGCGGCAGGCCUAACACAUGCAAGUCGAGCGCACCUUCGGGUGAGCGGCGGACGGGUUAGUAACGCGUGGGAACGUGCCCAGAUCUGCGGAAUAGCCACUGGAAACGGUGAGUAAUACCGCAUACGCCCUUCGGGGGAAAGAUUUAUCGGAUUUGGAUCGGCCCGCGUUAGAUUAGGUAGUUGGUGGGGUAACGGCCUACCAAGCCUAUGAUCUAUAGCUGGUUUUAGAGGAUGAUCAGCAACACUGGGACUGAGACACGGCCCAGACUCCUACGGGAGGCAGCAGUGGGGAGUCUUGGACAAUGGGCGCAAGCCUGAUCCAGCCAUGCCGCGUGAGUGAUGAAGGCCUUAGGGUCGUAAAGCUCUUUCGCCAGGGAUGAUAAUGACAGUACCUGGUAAAGAAACCCCGGCUAACUCCGUGCCAGCAGCCGCGGUAAUACGGAGGGGGUUAGCGUUGUUCGGAAUUACUGGGCGUAAAGCGCGCGUAGGCGGACCAGAAAGUUAGGGGUGAAAUCCCGGGGCUCAACCCCGGAACUGCCUCUAAAACUCCUGGUCUAGAGUUCGAGAGAGGUGAGUGGNAAUUCCGAGUGUAGAGGUGAAAUUCGUAAAUAUUCGGAGGANCACCAGUGGCGAAAGGCGGCUCACUGGCUCGAUA